RNAcentral lists this ribosomal RNA (500 nucleotides) under uncultured bacterium. RNAcentral describes it as "partial 16S ribosomal RNA". It matches the Rfam family "Bacterial small subunit ribosomal RNA", at positions 30 to 523 of the family's 1533-position model. The record is from RNAcentral.
AUUGAACGCUGGCGGCAUGCCUUACACAUGCAAGUCGAACGGUAACGGGUCCUUCGGGAUGCCGACGAGUGGCGAACGGGUGAGUAAUAUAUCGGAACGUGCCCAGUAGUGGGGGAUAACUGCUCGAAAGAGCAGCUAAUACCGCAUACGACCUGAGGGUGAAAGGGGGGGAUCGCAAGACCUCUCGCUAUUGGAGCGGCCGAUAUCAGAUUAGCUAGUUGGUGGGGUAAAGGCCUACCAAGGCAACGAUCUGUAGUUGGUCUGAGAGGACGACCAGCCACACAGGGACUGAGACACGGCCCAGACUCCUACGGGAGGCAGCAGUGGGGAAUUUUGGACAAUGGGCGAAAGCCUGAUCCAGCAAUGCCGCGUGUGUGAAGAAGGCCUUCGGGUUGUAAAGCACUUUUGUCCGGAAAGAAAUGGCUCUGGUUAAUACCUGGGGUCGAUGACGGUACCGGAAGAAUAAGGACCGGCUAACUACGUGCCAGCCGCCGCCGUAA